AACGCACGAGACCUGCGGACCUGCGGAGGGAUCAUUAAAGAGUUGCAAGACUCCCAAACCAUUGUGAACGUUACCCACACCGUUGCUUCGGCGGGCGGCCCGGGCCCUGCCCGGCGCCCCCCGGCCCCUCGCGGGCGCCCGCCGGAGGUAAACCAAACUCUUGAAUUGUAUGGCCUCUCUGAGUCUUCUGUACUGAAUAAGUCAAAACUUUCAACAAUGGAUCUCUAGAUCGGAAGAGCA
This 240-nucleotide unclassified non-coding RNA is filed under the name soil metagenome. Its description in RNAcentral is "partial contains 5.8S ribosomal RNA, internal transcribed spacer 2, and large subunit ribosomal RNA". The record is from RNAcentral.